ACUUGGCAAGAGGCACUUGACGGUAAAAGACGUUUUGCUGUUAGCCCCCUAACAAGGGCUCUGGCUUCAGGAAACCCUGGAAUGAGAGCCUUUUCAGAUGCUACAGACAAUGGCUCAUCCCUCCUCCCCACUGCCUCUGGCCAUCUGCCAGGAGGUCCCCUAAAGUAAUUCAAAGUGGCCUAGGUCAGACCAGUCUAGGCCAGGCCAAAUCUCUGAGCCCUCACUGGGAAGAAUCCCAUCCCCUCCUCAUCAGCACAGGGGAAGAGGGACAUGUGAUGAAGAUUUGACCUUGGCAGAAAUAGAUUGGUGAGUGGUUUGAUAACCUGGUGGUCCUGUCAUGUUCACUCUCAAGGUCAGGGCUGACAGGGUAGAAAGGGGAUUUCUGAGGUGCUUCUUAUCAAUGCCAAUGUUAAUCCAGGUGCUUACGUGUUUUGUGACCUUGGUGGAGGUCUGUGCAGACUGUGGUGUGCGUCUGUAGUGGGGAGAGUUGCAUGGGUGUGAGAACCACCAAAGACAGCCAGACAGGGCUCUAAAGCUUUCUGCCUGGCCACCAGACACUGUCUUAGUGGGGUCCUCUACUCCAUGUCCCUGCAGGAGAAGAAGAUGCCCCACACCACCAACAGAGUCCCACGCUGGCUCAGGCAGAAGCUCCAGAGCAAGAUCCAGAAGAACCUCAAGAACUAGGGCCAGCUCCAAGGCUAGAGCCCGCUACAGCUCAGAGCCACAGAUUCAGAUUCACAGCCAGAGGAGGCUCAAGCCACUGCUCUCAUUGAACUUUAAGACCAGGAACAACCACCUACAUCAUCUCUGCAACUAGCCUCAGCUGUUGAG
RNAcentral lists this long non-coding RNA (831 nucleotides) under Equus caballus (horse). RNAcentral describes it as "lncRNA (ENSECAG00000051867.1)". Lineage: Eukaryota; Metazoa; Chordata; Mammalia; Perissodactyla; Equidae. The record is from RNAcentral.